Non-coding RNA from Pelobates cultripes (western spadefoot toad), 259 nucleotides. The record is from the annotation of a GenBank genome assembly. Lineage: Eukaryota; Metazoa; Chordata; Amphibia; Anura; Pelobatidae.
GGAAGGGGGAAAGGGGUUUAAACUUACCUUUUUCCAGCGCUGGGCGGAGAGCUCUCCUCCUCCUCUCCGCCUCCGUUACGCCCCGCCGGCUGAAUGCGCACGCAUUCAGCCGGUCUCAUAGGAAAGCAUUUACAAUGCUUUCCUAUGGACGCUGGCGUGCUCUCACUGUGAAAAUCACAGUGAGAAGCACGCAAGCGCCUCUAGUGGCUGUCAGUGAGACAGCCACUAGAGGAUUAGGGGGAAGGCUUAACCCAUUCAU